This 497-nucleotide ribosomal RNA is filed under the name uncultured bacterium. Its description in RNAcentral is "partial 16S ribosomal RNA". It matches the Rfam family "Bacterial small subunit ribosomal RNA", at positions 28 to 507 of the family's 1533-position model. The record is from RNAcentral.
GACGAACGCUGGCGGCGUGCCUAAUACAUGCAAGUCGAGCGGUGAAGGGUGGUACUUGUACCGAACGGAUGAGCAGCGAACGGGAGAGUAACGCGGGGGGGAUAAGCAUUGGAGGGGGGGACAACAUUUGGAAACGAAUGCUAAUACCGCAUAAAAAAAUUAAACAGAAGAGGUAAGUUCGAAAGAUGCAAUUGCAUGACUCAAAGAUGAUUACGCGUUGUAUUAGCUAGUUGGUGAGGGAAAGGCUCAUCAAGGAGAUGAUACAUAGCCGACCUGAGAGGAUGAUCAGCCGCAGUGGGACUGGGACACGGCCCCAACUCCUGCCGGAGGCAGCACUAGGGCAUCUUCGGCAAUCGACGAAAGUCUGUCCGCGCAACUCCGCGUGAGUGUAGAAGGUCUUCGCAUCGUAAAACUCUGUUGGUAGAGAAUAGCGUUCUUGAGAUUGGAAAGCUCAUCAAGUGACGGUAACUACCCAGUAAGCGACGGCUAACUACGUG